GGUGUUUACUGUCGAACUGAACACUCUACCGUUUACUGUCUGGUGGUGCUCUUCACCGAGUGUCACCAGUGGUCGGUACGUUUACUUUGAAAAAAUUAGAGUGCUCAAAGCGGUUUUUACACGACCGAAUACUGUUGCAUGGAAUAAUGAAAUAGGACUUUGGUUCUAUUUUGUUGGUCUUCGGAACCAAGGUAAUGAUUAAGAGGGACAGACGGGGGCAUUAGUAUUGCGACGCUAGAGGUGAAAUUCUUGGACCGUCGCAAGACUAACUAAAGCGAAAGCAUUUGCCAAGAAUGUUUUCAUUAAUCAAGAACGAAAGUUAGAGGUUCGAAGGCGAUCAGAUACCGCCCUAGUUCUAACCAUAAACGAUGCCAACCAGCAAUCAGCCUGUGUUCUCUUGAUGACACGGCUGGCGGCUUCCGGGAAACCAAAGUCUUUCGGUUCCAGGGGAAGUAUGGUUGCAAAGCUGAAACUUAAAGGAAUUGACGGAAGGGCACCACCAGGAGUGGAGCCUGCGGCUUAAUUUGACUCAACACGGGGAAACUCACCCGGCCCGGACACUGUGAGGAUUGACAGGUUGAAGCCCUUUCUUGAUUCAGUGGGGUGGUGGUGCAUGGCCGUUCUUAGUUGGUGGAGUGAUUUGUCUGGUUAAUUCCGAUAACGAACGAGACUCUAGCCUACUAAUUAGACCGUGGCGUCCUCGUGCCGCCACGGCGCUUCCUAGAGGGACAGACGG
This 736-nucleotide ribosomal RNA is filed under the name uncultured eukaryote. RNAcentral's name for it is "SSU rRNA". It matches the Rfam family "Eukaryotic small subunit ribosomal RNA", at positions 671 to 1426 of the family's 1831-position model. The record is from RNAcentral.